RNAcentral lists this ribosomal RNA (433 nucleotides) under uncultured bacterium. RNAcentral describes it as "partial 16S ribosomal RNA". It matches the Rfam family "Bacterial small subunit ribosomal RNA", at positions 29 to 507 of the family's 1533-position model. The record is from RNAcentral.
AACGAACGCUGGCGGCAUGCCUAACACAUGCAAGUCGAACGAGACCUUCGGGUCUAGUGGCGCACGGGUGCGUAACGCGUGGGAACCUGCCCUUAGGUUCGGAAUAACUCCCCGUAAGGGGUGCUAAUACCGGAUAAUGUCUUCGGACCAAAGAUUUAUCGCCUUUGGAUGGGCCCGCGUUGGAUUAGCUAGUUGGUAGGGUAAAAGCCUACCAAGGCGACGAUCCAUAGCUGGUCUGAGAGGAUGAUCAGCCACACUGGGACUGAGACACGGCCCAGACUCCUACGGGAGGCAGCAGUGGGGAAUAUUGGGCAAUGGGCGAAAGCCUGAUCCAGCAAUGCCGCGUGAGUGAUGAAGGCCUUAGGGUUGUAAAGCUCUUUUACCCGGGAUGAUAAUGACAGUACCGGGAGAAUAAGCUCCGGCUAACUCCGUG